AACAGAACAAAACUUCAUAAAAAGAACUAAACAAACACUGGCCCAAAAGGCUGCCAUAGAAACACUGUGACUCAUGGGUGCUGAUCCCCUCUGCUGGGUCUCAGGGAUAAAUUUGGUUACAGACACCA
Non-coding RNA from Myotis davidii, 128 nucleotides. NCBI's taxonomy places the organism in Eukaryota, Metazoa, Chordata, Mammalia, Chiroptera, Vespertilionidae. The record is from Rfam.